AAACCGCUUAGAGGCAAACGGGUGGAACCGCAAUGCGUCGACCCGGGGGAUUCAGCCAGGCCCGUACGUUACUGGGACGAGCGUCAGGUUCCCGCGGAGCUAAUAGCGGCCCGCACCUGCGUUGUCGGUCUCGGGCGGACUGGUGCACUUUCCUCGGGUCGAAGGCCACGACCGGCUCUCCUUGUUGGCGGCCAGAAAGCUACGACCGGUAAGGUGACCGUUGGCCUCUCCGGGGCCUUCGGUGUUAUAGCCCGGUUAGAACGGUGCUCGUCAGAGGGCCGAGGAAGUAUGCCGCGCCAAAGCCACCCGCUGGCCAUCUCGGCUCUAGUUCUAUGGGUUGGACUGCUCCGUCAGUGCUAUCCGACUUGGAGCUGGGAAGGGUCGGCAAGGUGCUUGGCGCUUCGGGUCAGUGGCGAAUCGGUCGGUCACCUACCCGACCCGUCUUGAA
This 448-nucleotide ribosomal RNA is filed under the name Grandidieria burtoni. RNAcentral's name for it is "partial large subunit ribosomal RNA". Lineage: Eukaryota; Metazoa; Mollusca; Bivalvia; Unionida; Unionidae. The record is from RNAcentral.